This 907-nucleotide ribosomal RNA is filed under the name Phyllachora xinpingensis. RNAcentral's name for it is "Phyllachora sp. CJL-2022e partial large subunit ribosomal RNA". It matches the Rfam family "Eukaryotic large subunit ribosomal RNA", at positions 53 to 993 of the family's 3401-position model. The record is from RNAcentral. Lineage: Eukaryota; Fungi; Ascomycota; Sordariomycetes; Phyllachorales; Phyllachoraceae.
GGGGGAAAGAACAACCGGGAUUGCCCUAGUAACGGCGAGUGAAGCGGCAACAGCUCAAAUUUGAAAUCUGCCUGGCGGCCGAGUUGUAAUUUGCAGAGGAUGCUUUUUGGAACGCGCCAUCUAAGUCCCCUGGAAUGAGGUGCCAUAGAGGGUGAGAGCCCCGUAUAGUUGGAUGCUAGGCCAGCAAUAAAGCUCCUUCAAUGAGUCGAGUAGUUUGGGAAUGCUGCUCUAAUUGGGAGGUAAAUUCCUUCUAAGGCUAAAUACCUGCCAGAGACCGAUAGCGUACAAGUAGAGUGAUCGAAAGAUGAAAAGCACUUUGAAAAGAGAGUUAAAAAGCACGUGAAAUUGUUGAAGGGGAAGCGCCUAUAACUAGAUUUGCACUUAUCUGAUCUCCUACUGUUCGCAGUAGUGUACUCAGGUUAGUACAGGCUAGCAUUAGUUGAAAUAGGGAGAUAAAAGUACAAGAAAUGUGACUCCUUUUGGAGUGUUAAAGCCAGGUGCAUAAUAUCCCUAUUCCAACUAAGGAAUGCGCUCUGUAAGGAUGCUAGCAUAAUAGUUAUUAGCGACCCGUCUUGAAACACGGACCAAGGAGUCAAGGUGUUGCGCAAGUGUAUAGGUAUUAAACCUGCACGCGGAAUGAAAGUGAACGUAGGUGAGAGCUUUGGCGCAUCACCGACCGAUCCUGAUGUAUUCGGAUGGAUUUGAGUAGCAGCGUAGCGCCUUGGACCCGAAAGAUGGUGAACUAUGCUUGGAUAGGGUGAAGCCAGAGGAAACUCUGGUGGAGGCUCGCAGCGGUUCUGACGUGCAAAUCGAUCGUCAAAUCUGAGCAUGGGGGCGAAAGACUAAUCGAACCAUCUAGUAGCUGGUACCGCGAGUUUUCUCCCCCUCGGAAAAAAAGGAGAAGUAA